CUGAAGUCAGAUGCUUACCCAACCAAGCCACCCAGAAUCUUCUGUGAUAUCCUAACACUAUUUAUAGGAGAUCUCAACACAGCAGCAGGCAGCUGCUCACAGAAGCCGUGUGUGUGUGUGUAUGU
Suricata suricatta (meerkat) is the source of this 125-nucleotide long non-coding RNA. RefSeq lists it as uncharacterized. The record is from RefSeq and is a predicted model, not a curated record. Lineage: Eukaryota; Metazoa; Chordata; Mammalia; Carnivora; Herpestidae. The transcript is spliced from 3 exons.